UUAAAAGCUUUGAUUAGGAAAAGUAUUUAAGCAAGUAACUUAAAGAGAGUGGGGAAAGGUGAAAACCCAUAGUGAAGGUUUAAAGAAAAUCACCUAUGAGCUGAGAGCUGAAAGUUUAGUAAGCUUAUCCGUAUUUCUGCGUUAAAGAAUAAGGUAUAAUUGUACUUGACUUUAUAUUUGUGUUAUAGGUGGUUUAGCGAAUUUAACUUCGCCCUAUUA
This 219-nucleotide non-coding RNA is filed under the name Clostridium estertheticum. RNAcentral's name for it is "T-box sequence". It matches the Rfam family "T-box leader". Rfam says of the family: Uncharged tRNA acts as the effector for transcription antitermination of genes in the T-box leader family. T-boxes are found upstream of many aminoacyl-tRNA synthetase genes and some amino acid biosynthetic genes usually in Gram-positive bacteria. The anticodon of a specific tRNA base pairs to a specifier sequence within the T-box motif, and the NCCA acceptor tail of the tRNA base pairs to a conserved bulge in the T-box antiterminator hairpin. The record is from RNAcentral. Lineage: Bacteria; Bacillati; Bacillota; Clostridia; Eubacteriales; Clostridiaceae.